GGGCUGUGUGUAUUUCUCCAUGGAUUGAGUGUUUCAAUACUUCCACAGUAUUUAGCACUUAAAGCUGAAGUAGGCGAGAUUGGAGCAAAUAUGUUUAAAAAAAGUUAUUUUUAUAAAACGGUCGCCAUAUCGUGGCAGUAGUACAUGUGUAGCCCUGGCUAAAAUUCAUUUAGAUAUCAGAAUGCAAAUAGUUAAAAAAAAAAAUAAACCAGGCUAAAUGUUUUUAUAAAGCUGGUUAAAAUGUAUAAAUAUGGUUUAAAAAACAAAAAGAGUCCAAAAUUCAUAUUUCAUGCAAAUGAGCAUAGAUUGUUUGUUUUGCACAUAAUCCAACAGGUGUUAUCAACCUUACAGUCUAACUGGGUUAGCAGCAUAGAGGUCAAUCAUUGUUUUUCUUUUGUUUUCAUUGGUUUGUCCUAAAGCAAACAGCCAAUCAAAGUCCAGUUUCAGGUAGAGGGGCGGGGCUUAGCGUUACCUGCAGGUCAAAGUGUUUGGGAGUGAAGCAGACGUCAGUUGUCACGGUCGAGUGAACAUUGAGACUGUACGUGUCCGAGAGGCAUAACGUUCAUAACUUCAGGGUUGACGACCAGUUAUCCUCUGGUUUGGACUUGUGUGACCUUCAGGAGGUGGCAGAAACAGCAAAAGCUCUGGCAAAGGCAAAGAAGAAGAAGAAGAAGAAGCAGCAGCAAAUAAACAUGGACGUAGAUGAAAGCAAACACUGGCAUCCGUGGGCAGAGUGGCUACUGUACUGGAAUCUACCAGAAAUAAACAGAAGAAGAAGAAGAGCACAUCACUGUCGCGUUGCCGCUGAGGGGAUUGGCGUGCAGAAGCAAAUCUCCACAGAAGUCAGCUGACUCUUCAGCUUAGGGCCAUGAGGACAAUUGGCAAAAAAUGAGGCUGACCAGGUCAUUGGAGCUGCCUGAAGCUACAGGGCCAGCAGCUCUCCUCUCCGUCCGUCGCAGUGUGUGUGAUCUCCCUCAGCUCCAGCAAGCUACUGCAUUUAAAGGGAGAGACUGAUUCACCAGCUGUGUUAAUCAGCUCUCCCUGGCUCUAUUCACCUGAGUGUCCCAACACACCUGUCUCCCUCCUACAGAAUGUCCUCCUUUUCUGCUGCAGGGCCAGCAGCUCUCCUCUCUGUACGUCACAGUGUGUGUGAUCUCCCUCAGCAAGCUACUGCAUUUAAAGGAAUAGACUGAUUUAACAAACGCUCACCAGCUGUGUUAAUCAGCUCUCCCUGGCUCUAUUUACCAGAGUGUUCCCACACACCUGUCUCCCUCCUACAGUCUGAAGAGGCUUAACAUGGACUCCAGGAUGCUCUGCAACUUCUGCACGUGCACCAUCGAGAGUAUCCUGAUGUCUACAUCACCGUCUGGUCUGGCAGUUGCACCGACCUUAACCGUAAGGCCCUU
Sebastes umbrosus (honeycomb rockfish) is the source of this 1406-nucleotide long non-coding RNA. RefSeq lists it as uncharacterized. NCBI's taxonomy places the organism in Eukaryota, Metazoa, Chordata, Actinopteri, Perciformes, Sebastidae. The transcript is spliced from 7 exons. The record is from RefSeq and is a predicted model, not a curated record.